AUUGAACGCUGGCGGCAUGCCUUACACAUGCAAGUCGAACGGCAGCACGGGAGCAAUCCUGGUGGCGAGUGGCGAACGGGUGAGUAAAGUAUCGGAACGUGCCCAGUCGUGGGGGAUAACGUAGCGAAAGUUACGCUAAUACCGCAUACGAUCUACGGAUGAAAGCGGGGGAUCGCAAGACCUCGCGCGAUUGGAGCGGCCGAUAUCAGGUUAGGUAGUUGGUGGGGUAAAGGCUCACCAAGCCGACGAUCUGUAGCUGGUCUGAGAGGACGACCAGCCACACUGGGACUGAGACACGGCCCAGACUCCUACGGGAGGCAGCAGUGGGAAUUUUGGACAAUGGGCGAAAGCCUGAUCCAGCCAUGCCGCGUGCAGGAUGAAGGCCUUCGGGUUGUAAACUGCUUUUGUACGGAACGAAAAGGUUUGGCCUAAUAAGCUGAGCUCAUGACGGUACCGUAAGAAUAAGCACCGGCUAACUACGUGCCAGCCGCCGCCGUAA
Molecule: ribosomal RNA, 499 nt
Filed under: uncultured bacterium
Lineage: Bacteria
Description: partial 16S ribosomal RNA
Rfam family: Bacterial small subunit ribosomal RNA
Source: RNAcentral